RNAcentral lists this ribosomal RNA (347 nucleotides) under uncultured bacterium. RNAcentral describes it as "bacterial SSU rRNA". It matches the Rfam family "Bacterial small subunit ribosomal RNA", at positions 917 to 1264 of the family's 1533-position model. The record is from RNAcentral.
GGACCCGCACAAGCAGUGGAGCAUGUGGUUUAAUUCGACGCAACGCGAAGAACCUUACCAGCGUUUGACAUGGGAAGUGCCGGUUACAGAAUGGUAACCUUCAGUUCGGCUGGCUUCCGCACAGGUGCUGCAUGGCUGUCGUCAGCUCGUGUCGUGAGAUGUUGGUUAAGUCCCGCAACGAGCGCAACCCUUAUCGUUAGUUACUAACAGUUCGGCUGAGGACUCUAGCGAAAACUGCCGGUGAUAAGCCGGAGGAAGGUGGGGAUGACGUCAAGUCCUCAUGGCCUUACACGCUGGCUACACACGUGCUACAAUGGUAACUACAACGGACGCAAUACCGCGAGGUG